GAUGAAGAACGCAGCGAAAUGCGAUAAGUAAUGUGAAUUGCAGAAUUCAGUGAAUCAUCGAAUCUUUGAACGCACAUUGCGCCCCUUGGUAUUCCGAGGGGCAUGCCUGUUCGAGCGUCAUUACACCACUCAAGCACGGCUUGUGUGUUGGGCCUCCGUCCUCCUCCCGGGGGACGGGCCCGAAAGGCAGCGGCGGCACCGCGUCCGGUCCUCGAGCGUAUGGGGCUUCGUCACCCGCUCUUGUAGGCCCGGCCGGCGCUUGCCGACACAUCAAUCUUUUUUCCAGGUUGACCUCGGAUCAGGUAGGGAUACCCGCUGAACUUAAGCAUAUCAAUAAGCGGAGGA
Molecule: unclassified non-coding RNA, 345 nt
Filed under: soil metagenome
Description: partial contains 5.8S ribosomal RNA, internal transcribed spacer 2, and large subunit ribosomal RNA
Rfam family: 5.8S ribosomal RNA (bases 1-120)
Source: RNAcentral